UAUGAGAUCCCUUUUCUGUGACACAAGAUUAAACACCAUGGCAAUGGCUCUGAGUGACAGGUUUAGUAAGCUGCUAGGAAGGUUCCUGGAAGCAUGAAAAAAGUGAUGAUGCAUAUUAAACAAAGUGAAGAUGCUAUAACUUCCAUGGAAGUCUAUAGAGAAAAUAUUUCAAGGACCCAGGGGAUUUGGCAUGCCAGAAUGUAUUUACUGUAUAAAACUGGGAAACCCACUAAUGUGUACAUUCCUUGGGAGGGCUUAGAGGACACUUUAUCAAAGCAGUAGGAAUGAGCUGGUGAGGAAGGUGUCAGUAUUGUUGAGAAGCCCAGUGGUGCUGUCCUUUAUGGGCAGGGUUGACAGUAGGAGAUGCUGUAAUUGUGCCUCCCAGGAGCAAUGUGGAUGAUAGGAUUUUAGAAUAGCAGAGGCCAACAGACAGCACUUAACCAAUGGAAAUUAGAAGGGCAUAAUUAGCAUAAUGCAAAGCAACUUGGGAUGACAGUCAGGGGAACCUGAUCCACAGGGAUUUACGGUGAUGGCUAAUAGAACAUGAUGUCCAUAAGAAUGGGAAAGAUGGGAACUCAGUGACAAUAUUAUUAAUAUACAUACCCUAAGAAAUCAAGAACAGACAAGCAGAAAACAAGAAGCUGACCCAACAGGAAGUCUCCUGAUCUUGCCCAGUUUCCAGACCGAAGUCAUUUCUCAGUUACAGCAUCUACAGACAGAGAGUCCAGAGCCCCAUGAAGAAAGACUCUACCACAGUGUGUACGGUAAUUCUCCCUCCGACCUUCCUUAAAGGGACCUCCAGAAAUUACUCAGGCCUUCUCUUGCUGUAUCUCUCCUGAGUCCCUCAUUCUUCAAGAGCUAUGACUGUGUUGUCUGCUCACUCUAGUGUCUCCUCCAAACAAUUUACAACAUUGUCCUGAGACACAAAAACGACAAGCCCUGUCGAGGACCUCAGGGUUGCUGUUUAUGAAGCAGCUUCAGCAGCCCUGGGCCUUUCUCUCUUGCUUGCUUCCUCACAUCUCAUCAAGACUCACCUGUGGGCCAGGCGUGGUGGCUCACGCCUGUUAUCCCAGCACUCUGGGAGGCCGAGGCAGGUGGAUCAUGAGGUCAGGAGAUUGAGACCAUCCUGGCUAACAUGGUGAAACCUCAUCUCUACUAAAAAUACAAAAAAUUAUCUGGGCAUGGUGGCACAUGCCUGUAGUCCCAGCUACUCGGGAGGCUGAGGCAGGAGAAUCACUUGAACCUGGGAGGUGGAGGUUGCAGUGAGUCGAGAUUGCACCACCAUACUCCAGCCUGGGUGAUACAGCAAGACUCCAUCAAAAACCAACCAAACAAACAAACUCACCUGCUAUCUGUCUAUGUCUUGAUGGGCAAGCAAAAUGACUAAAGACGAUCUCACAAAUUCGUCCAUAGUGGGGAGAUAGUGAUUGCAUCUGUCACACUUCUUUCACAAUCAAAGUAUACUUUACUUUUAAAUAAAGUCCUUCUAUGCUUUCAGUGAGAAGGGGUGGGGAUUUUAAGCAAUUCCGAAGUUCACUGGGGGCACUCAGAUCCCACCCCUUAGGCUGCCAUAUGCUCACUGGAAGGAUCACAUUGAGGACCCUGAAGAGCCUGAAGAGGAAUUGCAUACCUUCUAUUAUUGCUGUUCGCUGUGGAUUGAAGUGCGUCUCUCCAAAAUCCAUAUGUUGAAGCACUAACCCCCGAUGUGACUGUAUUUGGAGAUCAGCCCUUUAAGAUGGUUUUGCCAUGUUGCCCAGGCUGGUCUCAAACUCCUGGCCCCAAGGGAUCCAUCCACCUUGUGUAAGACUGGAGCUGACAUCCAUCCAUCAGUCUUGUGUAAGACUGGAGCUGACAUUCACACCGUAGGCUGGGCCUCCCAGUUAUGACUGCUUUGCUGUCUCACUUACUGCAUGUUAUCCCAUCCUUCUGGAUGUGUGGCAAUCCUCGCCACGUGGCAAGGGCACAGCUGGCUAAACUGGCAGCUAUGCUUUGGAGCUCAUGACAGAUGUCUAUCGAGAGUAAAGAUGAGGAGAUUUAUUAGAAAACUAUCAAGAUUUUGGAGUGUGUUGGUCACUUUUGGAAGCCUUGAAAGGUCUUGCCUGACUCUCCCUCCCCAGGGUCAGAAGCAGAGCCCUAGAGAAAAGCCAGUGAGCCUAAGGGGGGCGGGUGUUAAUGGUAGAAACCCUCACAUCUGUGCCAGGCUCAGGUUCAGAGACCAACACACAAAAUGCUAUAGGCUUCUUAUACCUUCCCUAGAAAUUAAAGCCAAAAUGUCUAGCAACCCAAUCGGGUUUCAAGGAAGCUGAAGAACCUUGUAUUAGUAUGUUCUCACACUGCUAAUAAAGACAUACCUGAGACUGGGUAAUUUAUAAAGGAAAGAGGUUUGAUGGACUCACAGUUCCACAUGGCUGGGGAGGCCUCACAGUCAUGGCGGAAGGUGAAAGGCAUGCCUUACAUGGUGGCAGCAGGCAAAGAGAGAAUGAGAGCCAAGUACAAAGGGAAAGCCCUUAUAAAACCAUCAGAUCUCGUGAGACCUAUUCACUAACACGAGAACAGUAUGAGGGAAACCACCCCCAUGAUUUAAUUAUCUCCCACCAGGUCCCUCUCACAAUACAUGGGAAUUAAGGAAGCUACAAUUCAAGAUGAGAUUUGGAUGGGGACACAGCCAAACCAUAUCAAACAUUUACUAGGCCUGAGAAAAAGUGGCUUAUAUUUGCUGACUCCCUCAGGUGGGUCCUGAUCACGCAAGGUACCAACAACAGAGAAUGGGCUACCAAGCCUGAGCAAGCUUCAAAAGAGAAAAACCUCCUGAGUGCUGUUCUCACACAUGACCAUGGGAGGAAUAUGUAAGGCACAGACUUCUGGGGCUGCUAGAUGGGUUAACCAGGAUGCUCGUCCGCAUGCCUGGAUCGGGGACCUCCCAACUCUAUUCCUGUCUUUGACAUCAGAUCAAUGUGGGUAGAAAUUAACAAGUCUCCUUGCAAAAUAAAAUAUAUAUAUAUUUGAAAUUAAAACAUUAAAUCAUAAAUGAGUGUAAUUUAUUGAAAGAAUAGCACAAUACAAGGG
This 3066-nucleotide long non-coding RNA is filed under the name Homo sapiens (human). Its description in RNAcentral is "HSALNT0244373". The record is from RNAcentral. Lineage: Eukaryota; Metazoa; Chordata; Mammalia; Primates; Hominidae.